This 1453-nucleotide long non-coding RNA is filed under the name Capsicum annuum. Its description in RNAcentral is "long non-coding RNA (CANN_LNC013821)". The record is from RNAcentral. Lineage: Eukaryota; Viridiplantae; Streptophyta; Magnoliopsida; Solanales; Solanaceae.
ACCUUUAGAUUUGUUUCCAGUCCAAGCCCAUUGUAUCAACAUAGUCAUAUUUUGCAUUCAUUUUAGAAUGAAAAGGACUGCCAUGAAUGCAUUGCCAUAAAUUAAUGUGGUACCAUUUCUAAUACACUACUAUAAAAACUAUGCUAAAAAGGAAUAACUUUACUAAGGAUGUAAAGCUUCCUGAAUGAAUCAGUAACAAAACAGCAGCAGGAGCUCAAGAAAAAACUAUUUUUAUUUCUCUAGCCUACAAGUUUUUGCUUCAAGUCAUUGUUAAUGGAACUUCCAUAACAGAACCUGAGAGAGAAAAAACUUCCUCCUCAGCAACAAACUCAUUGUAGUUUCAAAAGAAGAUUUUGAAGAGGGUAGAUUGCACGUAAACUUACACCCUACCUCGAGGAGAUAGAAAAAGAUUUUUUAUGAAAGAUCCUCGGCUCGAGUAAUAAACAACAUAGCAGCAGAAAAAGACGUUCCUCAUUCGGACUAAAACCUCAUGAUGACCUUCCUCAUUCGGACUAAAACCUCAUGUAAUCAUUUAGUUAUUUACUUCAUCAAGCUUUUACUAAUUUUGCAAGAAACAAAAUGUUAAUACAAAUAUGGACUAGACUAUUACCCAUCACAAUAAUACACCAAUUUCAUUCUACUUCUCUUGAAUUGUCUAGUUGGAACCACGGAUUAAGGCAAUGCAAUGACUUCGGUCUAAAGUUUUGUAACUCCGUACUACAAGGUUGCAUUAAAAACAUAAAAUUGAGCAUUUUCAAACCAACACACAUCUACCACACAAGUGUAAAGACUCAAGACAGUACAAAGCAAGGUCUAAAGCGAACACUUCAAUUUUCACUUUCAACCGAAAAGUGCCACUUUUGCUCUUCUAUCACAAUUAUUUUUGAACUAAAUGUUGUGUUUUAUUUUAAAAUACAAUUCACACACCACUAUGACCAUUCACCUCCUCUAUAUGAUCAUUAUAAGUACAAAAUCUACACAUGCUUACCAGUACAAAAUCAACAAGAUUUAAACAAAAGACCUACUUAGAAUUAUUUGAAAUAGAAAAUCAUAAAUAAACACCAGCCCUAAUGAAUUAUCUUCAAUGUUGGAUAUGCUUGAAAAAUGAACAGAUCCACAAUCCAAUUUCACAAACCCUAAAUACAAAGUAAAUCAAUAGAAUUUGAAAUUGCUCAAAAAUAGUCAAACAAAUGCACCUCAAACCCAAAAAGCUAAGCAAAAUGGAGAAUAACACUAAAAAUUUUGGACUGCUGAUUUUGAUAAGCGAAGAAAUGGAUUUUCAUCUGCAAUACUCCCAGAUACUAAAACUACAGCUAUUUUCGUAUGGACGAUAUCAAUAUUGGUGUCAGCCUUGGCAUUGGUUUUGGUAUUUGGGGUUGAUAACGUUCGGAUGCUUGGUUGGAUGUUUAGAUGGUUAUGGUUAUGAGCUUUAUUAAAUGUCUUUCAAUUAUAA